This 480-nucleotide long non-coding RNA is filed under the name Zea mays. Its description in RNAcentral is "drought responsive lncRNA". The record is from RNAcentral. Lineage: Eukaryota; Viridiplantae; Streptophyta; Magnoliopsida; Poales; Poaceae.
GUUUGCCAAGUGUUCGAUGGAUUGCUCGACCUCGGAUUCAUUGUCAUCCGCGUGUAGUUGAAUCAUUUUAGUCAUGGUACGUUAAGUGAUCACGUAAUGCGAAAGACGAGUUGAGUCAACCCCUAGAUGAUGUUAAGCGUGGGCUUCUCCACAAGGUGAUGCUGAUGGAUGAACCUGAAGAUGGAUAAACUAAACAAGUGCCAAGGCAAAGGAUGGUCAUCAAGUGAUCGACGUCUAACAACCACUACACCAUGAAACAAUUUUAGCGUCAAACAUCUGACGAUAAAAAUAGAUGUUUGGCGACAGCGAGUAUGUCACAAAAUAAUACCAUCACACUAUCUGUCGGUAAUUAUUGUGUUGGCAUCAACAAAUCUGUCGGCAAUAAUGUCGAGCUAUUGUGGCGGUUUAUCCAUCGGUAUAAAUGAUUAUGUGUGGCACACUGACUGUCGGGAAAACAUAGCAUUAGAUCAUCUGUCGGUA